Macaca mulatta (Rhesus monkey) is the source of this 151-nucleotide non-coding RNA. The record is from RefSeq and is a predicted model, not a curated record. Lineage: Eukaryota; Metazoa; Chordata; Mammalia; Primates; Cercopithecidae.
UCACCAUCCAAUGUAAUUGAUAGAGUUGGCAGCACGGGAAUAAUGAAUAUUGUUUGGUGGGGUAUAAUGAGCUUCAGUGGACCAGGACUCUGAGGAGCAGACGGAAAUUAGGAUACUAGGAUACUACAGUGCGUUCCUUACUCCAAGCAGC